RNAcentral lists this transfer RNA (72 nucleotides) under Nicotiana attenuata. RNAcentral describes it as "tRNA tRNA-Lys". It matches the Rfam family "tRNA". From Rfam's summary of the family: Transfer RNA (tRNA) molecules are approximately 80 nucleotides in length. The record is from Rfam by way of RNAcentral. Lineage: Eukaryota; Viridiplantae; Streptophyta; Magnoliopsida; Solanales; Solanaceae.
GCCUUCUUAGCUCAGUGGUAGAGCGCGUGGCUUUUAACCACGUGUUCGUGGGUUCGAUCCCCACAGACGGCG